RNAcentral lists this ribosomal RNA (492 nucleotides) under uncultured bacterium. RNAcentral describes it as "partial 16S ribosomal RNA". It matches the Rfam family "Bacterial small subunit ribosomal RNA", at positions 29 to 507 of the family's 1533-position model. The record is from RNAcentral.
AGUGAACGCUGGCGGUAGGCCUAACACAUGCAAGUCGAACGGCAGCACAGUAAGAGCUUGCUCUUACGGGUGGCGAGUGGCGGACGGGUGAGGAAUACAUCGGAAUCUACUUUUUCGUGGGGGAUAACGUAGGGAAACUUACGCUAAUACCGCAUACGGCCUACGGGUGAAAGCAGGGGAUCUUCGGACCUUGCGCGAUUGAAUGAGCCGAUGUCGGAUUAGCUAGUUGGCGGGGUAAAGGCCCACCAAGGCGACGAUCCGUAGCUGGUCUGAGAGGAUGAUCAGCCACACUGGAACUGAGACACGGUCCAGACUCCUACGGGAGGCAGCAGUGGGGAAUAUUGGACAAUGGGCGCAAGCCUGAUCCAGCCAUACCGCGUGGGUGAAGAAGGCCUUCGGGUUGUAAAGCCCUUUUGUUGGGAAAGAAAAGCAGUAGGUUAAUACCCCGCUGUUCUGACGGUACCCAAAGAAUAAGCACCGGCUAACUUCGUG